Molecule: transfer RNA, 65 nt
Filed under: Leptochiton nexus
Lineage: Eukaryota; Metazoa; Mollusca; Polyplacophora; Lepidopleurida; Lepidopleuridae
Description: tRNA-Pro
Source: RNAcentral
CAGAUAGUAGUUUAUAAAAAUACUGGCAUUGGAAGCUAGAGAUCAAAAUUUCAUUUGUUAUCUGA